GGCUUUAAUGUAACAAAAUGUGAAAAGUCAAGGGGUCUGAAUACUUUCUUAAUGCACUGUACAUACUGUAGUGUUUGGGAUCAUUCACCCAUUGGAUAUAAGACACUAGAACCAUUAAAAUGAUUGAAAUUGGAGUAAAUGUUCUUUUUCAGCAGGGUUUGCAUGAUUCAGCUUAAAACAUUUGGCAAACGACAGCUGGCAGAGCGCACCAAAGCGGGUUAAGGUCUCAUGGCAUACUGGACCCAGUCAACACGUUGGGCUCGUGCCUAUUCCAUUUGAGACUUGAAGGACUCGGCAUGGACUUGGGGGGACUUCGUACGGAUGAGCUUUUCCCGCGUCAGGCCGAAUCAUAUCACUCUGGGCUCCGGCUAAUGGUACUCGAGCCGAGCCCAUUUCAGUUUACCCGGGCCGAUUCACUUUUUCAGGAGUAGGGCAAUUUAAGGUUUUUAUUCGGCAAGGGAUGAAAUACCAAUAUAAAAAAAAUAUUAAAAAAUAUAUAUAUUUCACCUCCAAGUCAUCGAAUUUUCUAGGUCAUACAAUUUGUGUCAGUCUCUGCGGUCCUAUAGCUAUCAGAGAUGGUCCCUAAUUUAGAGAAUAUCCAAUCCUAUAAAUGCUUUUGCUUUUACUAAAGGCUAUGGCAGCUUUUGUUUUACAGUCCACCCAAUUAAAAAGUGCUCAUUCCUUUCCAUAACAUUGUUUCUAGGUUACCAGCAUAUAAGAUAUACGUGCACAAUAAUAACUUUACAAACAUUAUCUGCUAACUUGCUGUGUGUGUUGGCUUCUAUGGUCAUCUUUUGUCUGUGUUAGCUAAUUGCACUGUUUAUUGUGCUGCACAUGUUCUUCUGUUCCACUGUAUGCCAUUUUGAUGUUCUAUUAUGACUAACAAAAAAAGAUCUGAAUUUAACAAAUAACACACAGGCCUAUUUUUUUCAAUAUCCUACUACAAUUUACCAGGAUUGACAAAAUCCUAUUUUUAUCGCAUUUAUUUUAAUCACUAAUUAGUCAAACAUGAUUGCACCUGAAUUUGAUCCUGAAAAUAUGACUAUAAUAUUUUCCCUUAAAGCUUUUAAGCAAUAAACAUAAUGCAGGCGGUAAUUGUAUUUUAAUUUCAGUGGCUAAAUAAGGAGGUAGGCAUAUCAGUUCCAGCUGAAACUUGGAUUGGAAUCUGUGCUUCAUGUGCAGCAAUAGAUCUCUCCGGGCAGCGGGCAGCCUGCUUGCUUCAGCAUUCCAUAAAGCCGUUGGGACAGAGCACCGGGUAGGCUACACAACAACACAGCUGGAAAAGAAUGACAGUUUCUCAAUGUACACCAAAAAUAUAUAUAUUUGACUGCUAAGUGGUAGUCCCUGUUCUCCGGCAUUCUUGUUUUACUGCUGUAAGUAAAGCGGUGGUUUGUUGGGGAAAAGAACGUCAAGGAAAGGUUCGCUAGCUAGCUAACUUUAGCUAACUAACGUUAUCUCUCUGGCUAACCCUCCGUUGACAUGGUAAGUUUUCAUUUUGAUAAAUGUUUAGUUAAUGACAGUAAAUGUGCGUGUGUGUGUGUUCUCUGUGUGAGAGAGUGUGUGUGUGUGUUCUCUGUGUGAGAGAGUGUGUGUGUGUUCUCUGUGUGAGAGAGUGUGUGUGUGUUCUCUGUGUGAGAGAGUGUGUGUGUGUGUUCUCUGUGUGAGAGAGUGUGUGUGUGUGAGUGAGAGAGAUGAUGAUGAUCACAAUAACUUAUAGAAAAUAUAGUUGUCAUGUCAACAUUGUGACAUGCUAGCUGUGUGUGUGUGUGAGAGAGAGAGAGAGAGAGAGAGCGCGAGAUGGUUGAUGAGUACACAUAUAAGAAACAUUGAUUGUGUGUGUGAGACAUUGCAAGCUAGUCUAAUUCUUGAAAUGUGUACCCCCCCAUAUGGAUUAAAAAAAAUUCUUGAUUCAUCAGAGAUCCUUGUAUUUUUGUGUAUUUUGUAUUUGACAAUACGAUACAUUUUGCUAUACCUGCUCCCCCUCAACACUCAUUCACAUGUUGCACCUGUCAACUGCCUUUUUCAAUUCUUGAUUCUCUUUUUUUGCGGAAAUCUUCACACUGGGCACACACUAGUUGAAUCAAUGUUGAUUCCACAUCUUUGAAAUGAAAUUACGUUGAACCAGCGUGGGAUAGACGUUGGAUUAACGUCUGCUCCCAGUGGGGUCCAACUUGGAUGGAAGGGUAGAGGUGGUAACAAAGGAAAGAAGUACAGAAGUUACCCAGCCUGCUGACUAAGCCAUUUAAAUAGCCUAUCUCUCGCUCUCCAUCUGUCUGCCUGACUGCCAGAUUGCUGUGAGGCAACAUAGUCAAUGUACUUGCUAGGCUAAGUCUAACUUAGUGAAGACCUUAGGCAAUGGUUAAUCAUGAUUUGUCUCGGUCUUUAAAGUUCCUGAAACAUGUCAAUGACAUGAUGCACGGCUUCUACACCAGUGCUUGGCCACACACUCAGUUACCAGUGACCUAUUCUACUACAUCCCAGGGAUAGGAUAGUCAUAGUCAUUGACAGUUUUGUGUGGAAAAUGUUGUUUUUGUCUAUUUGAUACUCUGAUAUUCAAUGUGUAUUGAUUCCUACUAAUCAGCUUUGUAAGAGCUAGGUUUGUACUAGCUAUGCUGAUGAUCGUUAACAUUUUUCCAUUAAAUCACUGAGACUGGAUUCCCCAAGAGACAUGCUAUUCAGCUGCCCAUGAUUGCCUGAGUAAGUAGAUCCAAAUUGCUGUCAGUAGAUCAAAUUGGAAUAGCACCACUUCUAAUAAUAGAAGUUUGUAAAGCAUAUAAAAUCCUAUUUUAACUCACUUUUUUUUUUCAGGUGCAAAACCGUUGUUCUGAUUCAAGAGAUACCUACCUCCCUUGAUGAUGACCAAAGAAUUAAUGUUCCACUUCAAUAUAAGGGCUAGAGGAGCAAGCAUGCCUUUGCUACCACUAGUGUGUGCUCUUCAUUGUAGUUGUAAGUGUCAUGAAAAGUCAGAACACUCAGGAGGUUGUGUUACGGGCUCUCUGGAAAGUCCUAAAAUGUGCCCCUGACUGUCGUGGUGGAGGAGGACACAAAAUCUGACACAUCACACGACUCUUCAAGGCCACUACGCUCCAGAUCGUCUUCUGUGCUCAGAGGUCCUUCAUGAGGAUCUACCCCAUCACACCACUCUUAUUAAUCAUGAAUAAAAUAAAAACAAUGAGCCUUUAUACACUGUGUCCCAGUCUUUCUAUGUAUGUAAUGUCUGUGGGUGAAUUAUGAAACAAUUACUGUAUGCAGAUGUGCAAAAUGUUUUGAUGUAUAUUCGUUUUUGCCAUUGCUUGAUAUAUUUUAAAUGUAAGAAUAUGUUGCAUAUUGAAACAUUAAUUGGUGCCUAUAGAAACUCAUAGAAAUGUAAUGAACCAUGUAUUCAAUAUCAAACUUCAUCCUCUGCAAUACGUGUUACAGUAGGUAAUAAGCUGUAAUCAGGUGGUCAUUCAGGUUAUGAUAUCUUAACUAUGACCAGUAUAUACAGUGCCUUCAGAAAGUAUUCAUACCUCUUGACUUUUCCACAUUUUGUUCAAAUCCUCACUUAUCUACGCACAAAACCCUGUUAAUGACAAAGUGAAAACAUGUUGAUAGAAAUGUUUGCAAAUUGAUUGAAAAUUAAAUACAAAAAUACCUCAUUUACAUAAGUAUUCACACCCCUGGGUAAGU
Oncorhynchus mykiss (rainbow trout) is the source of this 3669-nucleotide non-coding RNA. NCBI's taxonomy places the organism in Eukaryota, Metazoa, Chordata, Actinopteri, Salmoniformes, Salmonidae. The record is from RefSeq and is a predicted model, not a curated record.